UACAGAGGUCCCGAGCGUUAUUCGGAUUUAUUGGGCGUAAAGGGUGCGUAGGUGGCAAAGUAAGUUGGAUGUGAAAUCCUGGGGCUUAACCUCAGAAUUGCAUUCAAUACUGCUUAGCUAGAGAGCUGUAGAGGAGACUGGAAUUUACGGUGUAGCAGUGAAAUGCGUAGAUAUCGUAAGGAACGCCAGUGGCGAAAGCGAGUCUCUGGGCAGCAUCUGACACUGAGGCACGAAGGCCAGGGGAGCAAACGGG
RNAcentral lists this ribosomal RNA (253 nucleotides) under uncultured bacterium. RNAcentral's name for it is "partial 16S ribosomal RNA". It matches the Rfam family "Bacterial small subunit ribosomal RNA", at positions 524 to 776 of the family's 1533-position model. The record is from RNAcentral.